AUUGAACGCUGGCGACAUGCCUUACACAUGCAAGUCGAACGGCAGCACGGGUGCUUGCACCUGGUGGCGAGUGGCGAACGGGUGAGUAAUACAUCGGAACAUGUCCUGUAGUGGGGGAUAGCCCGGCGAAAGCCGGAUUAAUACCGCAUACGAUCUACGGAUGAAAGCGGGGGACCUUCGGGCCUCGCGCUAUAGGGUUGGCCGAUGGCUGAUUAGCUAGUUGGUGGGGUAAAGGCCUACCAAGGCGACGAUCAGUAGCUGGUCUGAGAGGACGACCAGCCACACUGGGACUGAGACACGGCCCAGACUCCUACGGGAGGCAGCAGUGGGGAAUUUUGGACAAUGGGCGAAAGCCUGAUCCAGCAAUGCCGCGUGUGUGAAGAAGGCCUUCGGGUUGUAAAGCACCUUUGUCCGGAAAGAAAUCCUUGGCCCUAAUACGGUCGGGGGAUGACGGUACCGGAAGAAUAAGCACCGGCUAACUACGUG
This 486-nucleotide ribosomal RNA is filed under the name uncultured bacterium. RNAcentral's name for it is "partial 16S ribosomal RNA". It matches the Rfam family "Bacterial small subunit ribosomal RNA", at positions 30 to 507 of the family's 1533-position model. The record is from RNAcentral.